GGUUUUCAUAAGUAACUUUCAAUCCUUUUUGGAGCAAAGCAGAAGUUAUUUGGUAAAUUUAUUAAUGUAAAUAUUCUUUUAUUCUCUUUUUUUUCUGUUCCUUCUCCAUUUUUGUAGUUCAACACUUUUCAAAUUAGUCUUAAUUAUUUGAUCUGACCAUUGCCAUAACCUGUAAUUGGAUAAAAAUGUCUAAGUACUGGUCUCGGUUUGACACUUAGAAGCAGUAACCUCAGAAUGUUCCUUAACUCUACUUAAUGAAAAGAGAACUGUCCUUAUAAUGAGGACAAAGGGAUAAAUAAAUAAAAUCAUAAAUAUGAAAAGUCUUAACAUGAUACCUGAAUCAUACUGUAUCCUUAAUAAAUGCUCUUUGAUUCGUGAAUUAUAAAAUAUGAUUUUUUCCAUCCUGACCUAAUAUUUGUCAUACGUUUAGCAAUGACAAUCAUGCCUUACAGUGUAAGAUUCUUGGGAACCUUCUUUCUGGCUUAAACAUUUCACCAGGGUCCCAACUGUGAAGUCAUUAAUCAAAUAGGUAUGCAAAAAAUUUUAGAUGUGGACAAAUCCUUUCCUUCUUGAGUAAAUGAAGCAUUCUAAAUAGCCGUGUCUAUUUUGUCUUUUUAUUAUGCAUUUCAAAGAAGGCAUGAGUGGGUUUUCUCUGGAAUGCCCGGUGAGCCUUCAUUGCUGAAAUUGGGGUGAUACCCAUUUUUCUCCAACCAACUCUGACAAUGCUUAAUGGGAGUGAGAGGAAGUGAUUGGUCUUAAGAGGAAAUGCAAUGAACAAUUUUCUUUCUCUCGGUCAGCUAUGACAGCAUAUAGAAAGAACUUGAGUUUCAAAGGCUGUGACUGCUGCAGGAAACUCUAGAACCUGUGGCGUUCAAGUAGGAUAACUGUCUCCCUCCAAAGCAUUUUGGUAAUCUCCUCCUCGCCCCCACCCCCUCUGAUUUAUGACUGUAUCUUUUGACCUUCUUUCUUUCUUCAUAAAAAGCACUAAGUUGCCAUUUAUAUAGCAGAGGACAGCAGAUAAAUGUUAAAAUUUACUGUAGAUCCUCACUGGGGAAUGGGCUUACAGAUCUCUCAGGCACCAAGUGUCACAAAAGCAUGUGAGUUUUGAUAUCCUUCAGUCAUGUGAGGAGUAAUCAUAAAAGGACAAAGUCCUAAAAAAAAUUAAACUUUCCAUAGACAGAGCA
RNAcentral lists this long non-coding RNA (1184 nucleotides) under Homo sapiens (human). RNAcentral describes it as "HSALNT0022089". Lineage: Eukaryota; Metazoa; Chordata; Mammalia; Primates; Hominidae. The record is from RNAcentral.